AUGAGGGACUUCUACCUGUGUUAUCUUGCAAUUCUCACAAACACAUUAGUCCCUCAGCCAUGUUUGUUGUCAAUACUCCAAAACCAACUAGGGGUGGCACUAGAUGCACUUAUAGAGCCGCAUAUCUUCAAAUUUUUGGCUAACUAUCUUCGAAGGGAGAAGUUGGUGUCUGAUACCAGAAUUAAAGUCGAAGAGAAACUAGCAUCAUUUUUGUGGAUGUUAUCCUAUAAUUCUUCAUUUGAAGACCUUCAAGUUCGGUUCGGUCACAGCGGGGAUACUUUCCAUUGGCAAAUGAAGAAUUUCUUUGACAUCAUACCUACUCUCUCCAAGCAGUUUUUGAAGCCUCCAAAUCCGAAUCAAGUACAUCCGAAGAUCCAGUCGGACACGAGAUUCUUUUCGUAUUUUUAG
This 408-nucleotide ribosomal RNA is filed under the name Triticum aestivum (bread wheat). Its description in RNAcentral is "partial small subunit ribosomal RNA". The record is from RNAcentral. Lineage: Eukaryota; Viridiplantae; Streptophyta; Magnoliopsida; Poales; Poaceae.